GCCCAGUCUCCCUGGGAGGCGGGUAGGAUUCUGGACGCUGCAGUCAUCCGGCCCUUUCCAUAGGUGUUGCCCAGCCCUGGGAUGUUCCCCUCUCAAAGACAGUGGCCUUCCUCUGUUUUUUAAUUUUUUGUUUAUUUUUAUUUUUAUUUAUUCAUGAGAG
This 160-nucleotide long non-coding RNA is filed under the name Vulpes vulpes (red fox). RNAcentral's name for it is "ST7 overlapping transcript 4 conserved region 2 (ENSVVUG00000010456.1)". It matches the Rfam family "ST7 overlapping transcript 4 conserved region 2". Lineage: Eukaryota; Metazoa; Chordata; Mammalia; Carnivora; Canidae. The record is from RNAcentral.